UGGUUCUGGCAUCGAUGAAGAACGCAGCGAAAUGCGAUAAGUAAUGUGAAUUGCAGAAUUCAGUGAAUCAUCGAAUCUUUGAACGCACAUUGCGCCCAUUAGUACUCUAGUGGGCAUGCCUGUUCGAGCGUCAUUUCAACCCCUAAGCCUAGCUUAGUGUUGGGAGACUACUGUAGCGGUGCUACAUGGGAGCCACCCUGUAACAUGGGCCGGUUUACCCUGUAGCUACCCUGUAGCUCCUCAAAGUCAGUGGCGGAGACGCGGAGUCCUCUGAGCGUAGUAAAUCUUUCUCGCUUUUGUAGGUUCUGUGGCUUUUGCCGUUAAACCCCCAAAUUUUUAAUGGUUGACCUCGGAUCAGGUAGGAAUACCCGCUGA
Molecule: unclassified non-coding RNA, 375 nt
Filed under: uncultured fungus
Lineage: Eukaryota; Fungi
Description: partial contains 5.8S ribosomal RNA and internal transcribed spacer 2
Rfam family: 5.8S ribosomal RNA (bases 1-133)
Source: RNAcentral